CCUACGGGAGGCAGCAGUGGGGUAUAUUGGACAAUGGGGGCAACCCUGAUCCAGCCAUGCCGCGUGUGUGAAGAAGGCCCUCGGGUUGUAAAGCACUUUCAGUGAGGAAGAACGCCUGGUGGUUAAUACCCAUCAGGAAAGACAUCACUCACAGAAGAAGCACCGGCUAACUCCGUGCCAGCAGCCGCGGUAAUACGGAGGGUGCGAGCGUUAAUCGGAAUUACUGGGCGUAAAGCGCGCGUAGGUGGCUUGAUAAGCCGGUUGUGAAAGCCCCGGGCUCAACCUGGGAACGGCAUCCGGAACUGUCAAGCUAGAGUGCAGGAGAGGAAGGUAGAAUUCCCGGUGUAGCGGUGAAAUGCGUAGAGAUCGGGAGGAAUACCAGUGGCGAAGGCGGCCUUCUGGACUGACACUGACACUGAGGUGCGAAAGCGUGGGUAGCAAACAGGAUUAGAUACCCUUGUAGUC
RNAcentral lists this ribosomal RNA (465 nucleotides) under Vreelandella stevensii. Its description in RNAcentral is "partial 16S ribosomal RNA". It matches the Rfam family "Bacterial small subunit ribosomal RNA", at positions 338 to 795 of the family's 1533-position model. Lineage: Bacteria; Pseudomonadati; Pseudomonadota; Gammaproteobacteria; Oceanospirillales; Halomonadaceae. The record is from RNAcentral.